CAAGGCUCGCUUCGGCGGGUCG
This 22-nucleotide small nuclear RNA is filed under the name Arabidopsis thaliana (thale cress). RNAcentral describes it as "snRNA_14470". Lineage: Eukaryota; Viridiplantae; Streptophyta; Magnoliopsida; Brassicales; Brassicaceae. The record is from RNAcentral.